RNAcentral lists this ribosomal RNA (982 nucleotides) under uncultured bacterium. RNAcentral's name for it is "bacterial SSU rRNA". It matches the Rfam family "Bacterial small subunit ribosomal RNA", at positions 33 to 1012 of the family's 1533-position model. The record is from RNAcentral.
AGGUCAGCGGCAGCUUAUACAUGCAAGUCGAGGGGCAGCACGGGUAGCAAUACCUGGUGGCGACCGGCAAACGGGUGCGGAACACGUACGCAACUUUCCCAAAACUGGUGAAUAGCCUUCCGAAAGGGAGAUUAAUACACCGUAAGAUGUAGGAGUGGCAUCACUCUUAUAUUAUAGCUCCGGCGGUUUUGGAUGGGCGUGCGGCUGAUUAGGUAGUUGGCGGGGUAACGGUCCACCAAGCCUGCGAUCAGUAACUGGUGUGAGAGCACGACCAGUCACACGGGCACUGAGACACGGGCCCGACUCCUACGGGAGGCAGCAGUAAGGAAUAUUGGUCAAUGGACGCAAGUCUGAACCAGCCAUGCCGCGUGCAGGAUGACGGCCCUCUGGGUUGUAAACUGCUUUUAUAGGGGACGAAAAAAGGGCUUUCUAGCUCGUCUGACGGUACCCUAGGAAUAAGCACCGGCUAACUCCGUGCCAGCAGCCGCGGUAAUACGGAGGGUGCAAGCGUUAUCCGGAUUUACUGGGUUUAAAGGGUGCGUAGGUGGGUCGGUAAGUCAGCGGUGAAAUCUUCGAGCUUAACUCGGAAACUGCCAUUGAUACUAUCGAUCUUGAAUCAUCUAGAGGUAAGCGGAAUAUGUCAUGUAGCGGUGAAAUGCUUAGAUAUGACAUAGAACACCAAUUGCGAAGGCAGCUUACUAUGGAUGUAUUGACACUGAGGCACGAAAGCGUGGGGAUCAAACAGGAUUAGAUACCCUGGUAGUCCACGCCCUAAACGAUGGAUACUCGACAUCAGCGAUACACCUGUUGGUGUCUGAGCGAAAGCAUUAAGUAUCCCACCUGGGAAGUACGAUCGCAAGAUUGAAACUCAAAGGAAUUUGACGGGGGUCCGCACAAGCGGUGAGCCAUGGGGUUUAAUUCGAUGAUACGCGAGGAACCUUACCUGGGCUAGAAUGCGGUUUGACCGCUGGUGAAAGCUAGU